Molecule: ribosomal RNA, 416 nt
Filed under: uncultured bacterium
Lineage: Bacteria
Description: bacterial SSU rRNA
Rfam family: Bacterial small subunit ribosomal RNA
Source: RNAcentral
GAUGAACGCUGGCGGGCAUGCUUAACACAUGCAAGUCGAACGGUAACGCGGGGCAACCCUGGCGACGAGUGGCGGACGGGUGAGUAAUGCUUAGGAAUCUGCCCAUCAGUGGGGGACAACCCGGGGAAACUCGGGCUAAUACCGCAUACGUCCUAUGGGAGAAAGUGGGGGACCGCAAGGCCUCGCGCUGAUGGAUGAGCCUAAGUCCGAUUAGCUAGUUGGUAGGGUAAUGGCCUACCAAGGCGACGAUCGGUAGCUGGUCUGAGAGGAUGAUCAGCCACACCUGGGACUGAGACACGGCCCAGACUCCUACGGGAGGCAGCAGUCGAGAAUCUUCCACAAUGGGCGAAAGGCCUGAUGGAGCGACACCGCGUGCAGGAUGAAGGCCUCGGUUGGUAACUAGCUGUCACGCUAUA